Nothoprocta perdicaria is the source of this 1970-nucleotide long non-coding RNA. RefSeq lists it as uncharacterized. NCBI's taxonomy places the organism in Eukaryota, Metazoa, Chordata, Aves, Tinamiformes, Tinamidae. The transcript is spliced from 3 exons. The record is from RefSeq and is a predicted model, not a curated record.
ACAUUGAAACCUUAAAGGAGCACAAACCAAAAGUUAUCUGGGAUGAGCAAAUUGCUGAACACUACUUCGAAUACAAAAAAAAUAAAGGAGGAAAACAUGCUGUCUUCUAUCCAACGUUGAAGUCCAUCCAGCUGCGCUUAGAGCUUGCAAAAGAAUUGGGCACUGGGAUAUCCAUCUGGGAGCUGGGACAAGGCCUGGAUUAUUUUUAUGACCUGCUUUAAAUCGGAGAUGGUCUGCAAAAGACUUUAUUUGCUUCACCAAGACUCUGCCUUCAAUUAAUUUGGGUAUUCUGGGCAGGUGAUUUUUUAAUAAUUAGAACUUUUUUUUGUAAUUUAUAUCAUAUGUGUAUUAAACUUCUCUUUUUUCUGCAAUAAAUUACCUUUUCUGAUUUACUAUAUAAACAUGAUGGUUAACAUCUGAUAAAAUCCAGAGAUAAAACACAGAAGAUCUUCUUAAAGUUGCUGAAUUUGCAGUCAUUGAAAAUGGAACAGCACAAGUAGGAUGGCAUGGGAGCAGAAUUCAGAGGGUUUUUUUUUUUUUUGAAUAUUUUGUACAAAAAAUUACCGAGAAGUUACUACAAUCUGAACACAGUUUAAUUCUGAGGUCUCUUGAAACAAUUCCUGGUAACUGAACAAAUACGCUCAUCAGAUUAUGUCCAGCAAAUGUAAUAUAUGAUGGAUUCUCUACAUUACUUUAACAACAAAAGACAGAAAGUAAGCCUAAAAUAAAGACGGGGGGACCAACUGGAUGUCUUUCCUUCUGGCUGGCAGAGAGUUAAAUGUGGACAAGCUAUGCAGUUAGCUUUGUCCUUUAUUUUAAUAAAUGCCAUGUAGUUCAAAAUCACAGUAAUUUCAAUUCAUGACUUGUUUCUAAUUCCCCUUUUUGCACGCAGGAAGCACCCCAUGAUUUCUGUCGUGCUUAGUGCCUCAGUUUAUAAUACUAGUGCAUUAUGCAUUAGUCUGUCAUAAUGCUAACUUUUAGCACCAGAGGCUGCAGUGGAAAUUGUACGUAUGCAUGUAGUAAUGGAUUACGUGCAUUGUCCCAAUGCUCAGAGCCCCAGAGCUGACCACCUUUUGGCUUAAAGGGGUGCUGUGAAUCAAAAUCUUUCCAAGUAAAGCUCUUAUUCAUUUACCAUACACAUUGGCACUUCAACCUCCAUAAUACACAAUUUUUAUUAACCGAAAGCUAUAUCAAUCCAUGAGCUUAUAAACAAAGUUCUCAAACCAUUCUGAAAUCUUCCCUGUUUUUCACUUUACAAGCUUUGGGCUUGUAGAAAUAUAUGGGCCUCAAAGCAGUUUUUCGGAAGGAACAAGGGGAGAUGCUGUGAAUUUGAUGAGGAAGUUGCUGGUCAUCAGCCGAGAUGCAGGCAGGCAAUAGCUCUGCACACCCUCUGGUCUCUUCUUGCCACUUAAGAGUUGUCACACAGAUAACCACACUCCUCUCUUUGUGUCCACACUUUAUGGUAAUUAAUCUCCAUGGGGAAUUUAUCCAUCCCAGCCAGUUUCAGCAGACUAAAUCCUGCUGUAAUCCAGCACUGAUUAAAGAACUAUUGAUCUUCACCUCUCUUUAGUCUGGCAUCUCUCAACUUCUCAUACUGCAAGUAUCCAGCAGGGUUUACUAAUCAAGCUUUUUCUUCUGUACCGUUAGUGCUAAGAUAAUUUGCUAUGUGAUUCCUCAUGUUCAAUUAACUUGAGCUUUCUAGUUCAUUCGAAAGCAAUUUAAAGUCACUCAGGCAAUGGUAUCUAGACUAGCACAAGAAAUAAAUUCUAUUAUGCUAUUUCUACUGAACCAGAAUGUUUCAGAAAAAAAAAAGGUCAGUAAAAAUGCAAGGUUGUGCUCUGAAAUUACGUCUGCUUUUAUGUCAUCUAAUAACUAGAAAUAUAAAAAUUGUGAAGUUGGGAGGGGGAGAAAGGGUGUUUCAUUUUAGCUUGUUCUUUCCUCUCUAAUUUAUCCCAUGUUUUGAAUAAUUU